UGAACGCUGGCGGCGUGCCUAACACAUGCAAGUCGAACGAGAAAAUUUCCUUCGGGGAAUGAGUAAAGUGGCGCACGGGUGAGUAACACGUGGAUAAUCUACCUCUAAGUGAGGGAUAACUUCGCGAAAGCGGGGCUAAUACCUCAUAAUAUUAUCUUCUCCUUGGGGAAGAUAGUCAAAGGUGGCCUCUGUUUCAAGCUAUCGCUAAGAGACGAGUCCGCGUCCCAUUAGUUUGUUGGUAAGGUAAUGGCUUACCAAGACUACGAUGGGUAGCUGGUCUGAGAGGAUGACCAGUCACACUGGAACUGAGACACGGUCCAGACUCCUACGGGAGGCAGCAGUGAGGAAUCUUGCGCAAUGGGGGAAACCCUGACGCAGCAACGCCGUGUGAGUGAUGAAGGCUUUCGGGUCGUAAAGCUCUGUUAGGUGGGAAGAAAAGCUCUCGACCAAUAAUCGAGAAUCUUGACGGUACCACCAGAGGAAGCACCGGCCAACUCC
Molecule: ribosomal RNA, 498 nt
Filed under: uncultured bacterium
Lineage: Bacteria
Description: bacterial SSU rRNA
Rfam family: Bacterial small subunit ribosomal RNA
Source: RNAcentral